GUGAACGCUGGCGGUAGGCCUAACACAUGCAAGUCGCACGGCAGCACAGUAAGAGCUUGCUCUUACGGGUGACGAGUGGCGGACGGGUGAGGAAUACAUCGGAAUCUACUUUUUCGUGGGGGAUAACGUAGGGAAACUUACGCUAAUACCGCAUACGACCUACGGGUGAAAGCAGGGGAUCUUCGGACCUUGCGCGAUUGAAUGAGCCGAUGUCGGAUUAGCUAGUUGGCGGGGUAAAGGCCCACCAAGGCGACGAUCCGUAGCUGGUCUGAGAGGAUGAUCAGCCACACUGGAACUGAGACACGGUCCAGACUCCUACGGGAGGCAGCAGUGGGGAAUAUUGGACAAUGGGCGCAAGCCUGAUCCAGCCAUACCGCGUGGGUGAAGAAGGCCUUCGGGUUGUAAAGCCCUUUUGUUGGGAAAGAAAAGCAGCAGGUUAAUACCCCGCUGUUCUGACGGUACCCAAAGAAUAAGCACCGGCUAACUUCGCG
RNAcentral lists this ribosomal RNA (491 nucleotides) under uncultured bacterium. RNAcentral's name for it is "partial 16S ribosomal RNA". It matches the Rfam family "Bacterial small subunit ribosomal RNA", at positions 29 to 507 of the family's 1533-position model. The record is from RNAcentral.